CUUCAACGAGCCUAGCCAGAGGGGCCGUUCGCGGUCCUGGCCGUAGGUGGCGAGCAGCGCCUCGGCCUC
Streptomyces autolyticus is the source of this 69-nucleotide non-coding RNA. Lineage: Bacteria; Bacillati; Actinomycetota; Actinomycetes; Kitasatosporales; Streptomycetaceae. The record is from Rfam.